This 253-nucleotide ribosomal RNA is filed under the name uncultured bacterium. RNAcentral's name for it is "partial 16S ribosomal RNA". It matches the Rfam family "Bacterial small subunit ribosomal RNA", at positions 524 to 776 of the family's 1533-position model. The record is from RNAcentral.
GACGUAGGGUGCAAGCGUUGUCCGGAUUUAUUGGGCGUAAAGAGCUCGUAGGCGGCUUGUUGCGUCGACUGUGAAAACCCGCGGCUUAACCGCGGGCUUGCAGUUGAUACGGGCAGGCUAGAGUUCGGUAGGGGAGACUGGAAUUCCUGGUGUAGCGGUGAAAUGCGCAGAUAUCAGGAGGAACACCGGUGGCGAAGGCGGGUCUCUGGGCCGAUACUGACGCUGAGGAGCGAAAGCGUGGGGAGCAAACAUG